UAGGGAAUAUUAGUAAUGGGCGAAAGCCAGAACUAGCAACGCCGCGUGUGCGAAGAAGGCCUUCGGGUUGUAAAGCACUUUUUGAGAGGAUGAGGAAGGACGGUACUCUCAGAAUAAGUCUCGGCUAACUACGUGCCAGCAGCCGCGGUAACACGUAGGAGGCGAACGUUAUCCGGAUUUACUGGGCGUAAAGCGCGUGUAGGUGGUUUGGUAAGUAGGGCGUGAAAGCUCCUGGCUCAACUGGGAGAGGCCGUUCUAAACUGCCGAAGUAGAGGAUGGUAGAGGGAGGUGGAAUUCCGGGUGUAUCGGUGGAAUGCGCAGAUAUCCGGAGGAACACCAGUGGCGAAAGCGGCCUCCUGGACCACUCCUGACACUCAGACGCGAAAGCUAGGGUAGCAAACGG
This 403-nucleotide ribosomal RNA is filed under the name uncultured bacterium. RNAcentral's name for it is "bacterial SSU rRNA". It matches the Rfam family "Bacterial small subunit ribosomal RNA", at positions 355 to 775 of the family's 1533-position model. The record is from RNAcentral.